UGUGCUAAGGUAGCACAAUCAUUUGUCUUUUAAUUAAAGACUAGUAUGAAAGAUUAAACAUUUUAAUUUCUUCUAUAAAUUCUAUUUUCUAAUUUAUUUUAAAUGUAAAAAAACAUUUAUUUUACCAAAAGACGACAAGACCCUAUCGAACUUUACUUUAGUUAAACUGGGGUAGUUAAUUAAUUUAAAUCUUAAUAUUUAUACUUACAAAAUGGACCCAAUACAAUUGAAUAACUGAUCAAGUUACCGUAGGGAUAACAGCGUAAUAUAUUUUUAAAGCUCUUAUUAAAAAAUAAGCUUGCGACCUCGAUGUUGAAUUGAUAAACCUAUUAUGCAACCAUUUAAAAAGGAGGUCUGUUCGACCUUUAAUUUAUCACAUGAUUUGAGUUCAGACCGGCGUAAGCCAGGUCGGUUUCUAUCUUUGUUCAAUUAUUUUUUCUAGUACGAAAGGACCUAAAAAAUAAUUUUAAAU
This 472-nucleotide ribosomal RNA is filed under the name Menneus camelus. RNAcentral describes it as "partial 16S ribosomal RNA". It matches the Rfam family "Bacterial large subunit ribosomal RNA", at positions 1947 to 2711 of the family's 2925-position model. The record is from RNAcentral. Lineage: Eukaryota; Metazoa; Arthropoda; Arachnida; Araneae; Deinopidae.